This is a long non-coding RNA of Anguilla rostrata (American eel), 997 nucleotides long. RefSeq lists it as uncharacterized. The record is from RefSeq and is a predicted model, not a curated record. NCBI's taxonomy places the organism in Eukaryota, Metazoa, Chordata, Actinopteri, Anguilliformes, Anguillidae. The transcript has 2 exons.
AUGCAACACUCCGUGUUUGGCAAAGUAUUCUCACCUUCAGAGAUAAAGAUCUUGUCACGUCUACAGUUUUCUCAACAAAUCAUUAUGAAAAAUAUUAUUCCCGCAAUACCGAAAGUGCGCAAACGUCUGUCAGCUUGUAUUAUCCAAUGGUAAACUGAAUGCCAUCAUCCUCAUCCUCACCCUCCAUCUCCUCUGCGGCCCUCUCAGCCCUUUCCCUCUCACAGGCCUGGAUGUAGUUGUCCUCAAUGAAGCCGUCAUCAUCAUCCAGCUCAGUGGGAGGGCCUCGUCCCAUCACGUCCUGCCCAGAGAAGCCUACCUCCAGGCUCAUUGGGUCGCACUGGCUUACAGCGUCCCCCUCAGGAAGCAGAGUGUGUCGGUAGCUGGCCAGGUAACGAUGGACGAUCUUGCAUUUGGCCCCAAGCGUGAUAAUGAUGGAGAUCAAGAUGGCUGUGACCAAGACAGCUACAAGGUACUGCCAGCUGUGUGACGGCCGCUCCUUACUGGUGUCUGUGCCUGUAGGACAGAGAAGGAUCAGGGCUGAAGUUACUCAGUUCACUGUCUUGCUAAUGUUGGUUGAAAUCAGCUUUUGGCAAGAAUACUUAACCAAAAUCACCAUUACAAAUCAAUAAUUAGAAUAAUUUCCAAAGUAGAAAUACCUAUCUGCAGUGUCCUACAUAAUUCAUAUUACAUAGUAUUAAUUUUAGCAGCUUUAUGUUUCAUAUUCACAAUUAAUAUUAAGUGCUUUGUUUCUGGCAGAAAUGAGUCAGUGCCCAUAUAAUAUUCGGUUCUGGUUGUAAGUUCUCUUCCAUGCCAAAUAAAUAAUUCUGCUGCAUAAGACGUAAAAUAAACAGCUAGUUUUGAGUGACAGAGAUCUUACUGUUUAUGCUUGGUGUGGUAGGAUCCUCAUUGAUAUCUGACAACAGCUUCCUUUGAAAUGUUCUCAGGAUGUUGAGAUUUUGUACAUGUCCUGUAAGAAGAUUUAAAUGGUUGGUCAGGA